This 497-nucleotide ribosomal RNA is filed under the name uncultured bacterium. Its description in RNAcentral is "partial 16S ribosomal RNA". It matches the Rfam family "Bacterial small subunit ribosomal RNA", at positions 28 to 507 of the family's 1533-position model. The record is from RNAcentral.
GAUGAACGCUGGCGGCGUGCCUAAUACAUGCAAGUCGAGCGAACAGACGAGGAGCUUGCUCCUUUGACGUUAGCGGCGGACGGGUGAGUAACACGUGGAUAACCUACCUAUAAGACUGGGAUAACUUCGGGAAACCGGAGCUAAUACCGGAUAACAUUGUGAACCGCAUGGUUCAACAGUGAAAGACGGUCUUGCUGUCACUUAUAGAUGGAUCCGCGCCGCAUUAGCUAGGUGGUAAGGUAACGGCUUACCAAGGCAACGAUGCGUAGCCGACCUGAGAGGGUGAUCGGCCACACUGGAACUGAGACACGGUCCAGACUCCUAAGGGAGGCAGCAGUAGGGAAUCUUCCGCAAUGGGCGAAAGCCUGACGGAGCAACGCCGCGUGAGUGAAGAAGGUCUUCGGAUCGUAAAACUCUGUUAUUAGGGAAGAACAAAUGUGUAAGUAACUAUGCACGUCUUGACGGUACCUAAUCAGAAAGCCACGGCUAACUACGUG